RNAcentral lists this ribosomal RNA (500 nucleotides) under uncultured bacterium. Its description in RNAcentral is "partial 16S ribosomal RNA". It matches the Rfam family "Bacterial small subunit ribosomal RNA", at positions 30 to 523 of the family's 1533-position model. The record is from RNAcentral.
AUUGAGCGCUGGCGGAAUGCUUUACACAUGCAAGUCGAACGGCAGCACGGGGGCAACCCUGGUGGCGAGUGGCGAACGGGUGAGUAAUACAUCGGAACGUGCCCAGUCGUGGGGGAUAACGUAGCGAAAGUUACGCUAAUACCGCAUACGAUCUACGGAUGAAAGCGGGGGACCGUAAGGCCUCGCGCGAUUGGAGCGGCCGAUAUCAGAUUAGGUAGUUGGUGGGGUAAAGGCCCACCAAGCCAACGAUCUGUAGAUGGUCUGAGAGGACGACCAGCCACACUGGAACUGCGACACGGUCAAGCCUACGACGGGAGGCAGCAGUGGGGAAUUUUGGACAAUGGGCGAAAGCCUGAUCCAGCCAUUCCGCGUGCAGGAUGAAAGCCCUCGGGUUGUAAACUGCUUUUGUACAGAACGAAAAGGUUUCUACUAAUACUAGGAGCUCAUGACGGUACUGUAAGAAUAAGCACCGGCUAACUACGUGCCAGCCGCCGCAGUAA